CCUACGGGCGGCAGCAGUGGGGGAUAUUGCACAAUGGGGGGAACCCUGAUGCAGCGACGCCGCGUGGGUGAAGGAGUGCUUCGGCAUGUAAAGCCCUAUCGGCAGGGAAGAAGCAAGACGGUACCUGACUAAGAAGCCCCGGCUAACUACGUGCCAGCAGCCGCGGUAAUACGUAGGGGGCGAGCGUUAUCCGGAUUCACUGGGUGUAAAGGGAGCGUAGACGGCCAAGCAAGCCAGGGGUGAAAGCCCGGGGCCCAACCCCGGGACUGCCCUUGGAACUGCAUGGCUGGAGUGCGGGAGGGGCAGGCGGAAUUCCUAGUGUAGCGGUGAAAUGCGUAGAUAUUAGGAAGAACACCAGUGGCGAAGGCGGCUUUCUGGACUGAAACUGACGCUGAGGCACGAAAGCGUGGGGAGCGAACAGGAUUAGAUACCCCAGUAGUC
RNAcentral lists this ribosomal RNA (441 nucleotides) under uncultured bacterium. RNAcentral describes it as "partial 16S ribosomal RNA". It matches the Rfam family "Bacterial small subunit ribosomal RNA", at positions 338 to 795 of the family's 1533-position model. The record is from RNAcentral.